This 73-nucleotide transfer RNA is filed under the name Toxocara canis (dog roundworm). It matches the Rfam family "tRNA". From Rfam's summary of the family: Transfer RNA (tRNA) molecules are approximately 80 nucleotides in length. Their secondary structure includes four short double-helical elements and three loops (D, anti-codon, and T loops). Lineage: Eukaryota; Metazoa; Nematoda; Chromadorea; Rhabditida; Toxocaridae. The record is from Rfam by way of RNAcentral.
GCCUUCUUAGCUCAGUCGGUAGAUCAUCAGACUUCUAACAUGAGGGUCGUGGGUUCGAGCCCCACAAAAGGUG